AACGAACGCUGGCGGCAUGCCUAACACAUGCAAGUCGAACGAGAUCUUCGGGUCUAGUGGCGCACGGGUGCGUAACGCGUGGGAAUCUGCCCUUUGGUUCGGAAUAACAGUUGGAAACGACUGCUAAUACCGGAUGAUGACGAAAGUCCAAAGAUUUAUCGCCAGAGGAUGAGCCCGCGUAGGAUUAGCUAGUUGGUGUGGUAAAGGCGCACCAAGGCGACGAUCCUUAGCUGGUCUGAGAGGAUGAUCAGCCACGCUGGGACUGAGACACGGCCCAGACUCCUACGGGAGGCAGCAGUGGGGAAUAUUGGACGAUGGGCGAAAGCCUGAUCCAGCAAGGCCGCGUGAGUGGUGAAGGCCUUAGGGUUGUAAAGCUCUUUUACCAGGGAUGAUAAUGACAGUACCUGGAGAAUAAGCUCCGGCUAACUCCGUGCCAGCCGCCGCAGUAA
RNAcentral lists this ribosomal RNA (449 nucleotides) under uncultured bacterium. Its description in RNAcentral is "partial 16S ribosomal RNA". It matches the Rfam family "Bacterial small subunit ribosomal RNA", at positions 29 to 523 of the family's 1533-position model. The record is from RNAcentral.